CCAAUAGCGUAUAUUAAAGUUGUUGCAGUUAAAAAGCUCGUAGUUGAAUUUCGGGAUCAAUAUGUCGGUCGUGCCUCGGUACGCACUGGCAUCGUUGGUUUCUCCCUUCUGAAGAACCAUGAUGUCAUUCAUUUGGUGUCGUGGGGAAUCAGGACUGUUACUUUGAAAAAAUUAGAGUGUUUAAAGCAGGCUCACGCUUGAAUACAUUAGCAUGGAAUAAUGAAAUAGGACGUUUGAUUCUAUUUUGUUGGUUUCUAGGAUCGACGUAAUGAUUAAUAGGGAUAGUUGGGGGCAUUAGUAUUCAAUUGUCAGAGGUGAAAUUCUUGGAUUUAUUGAAGACUAACUACUGCGAAAGCAUUUGCCAAGGAUGUUUUCAUUAAUCAAGAACGAAAGUUAGGGGAUCGAAGACGAUCAGAUACCGUCGUAGUCUUAACCAUAAACUAUGCCGACUAGGGAUCGGAUGAUGUUAAUUUUUUAAUGACUCAUUCGGCGCCUUACG
Molecule: ribosomal RNA, 499 nt
Filed under: uncultured Glomeromycotina
Lineage: Eukaryota; Fungi; Glomeromycota
Description: partial small subunit ribosomal RNA
Rfam family: Eukaryotic small subunit ribosomal RNA
Source: RNAcentral